This is a non-coding RNA of Ciona savignyi (Pacific transparent sea squirt), 485 nucleotides long. The record is from Rfam. Lineage: Eukaryota; Metazoa; Chordata; Ascidiacea; Phlebobranchia; Cionidae.
ACCAAGGAGUCUAACAUGUGCGCGAGCCGCGGGGCAGUACGAAACCCGUAAGGCGAAAUGAAGGUGAACGCCGGCGCGGUCCGGCGGAGGUUGGAUCCCGUCCCGUCGGGGCGGGCGCACUACCGGCCGAUCUUCUCCGCCCUGUCGGCGAGGUCGAGCGAGAGCGUGCAAGUCGGGACCCGAAAGAUGGUGAACUAUGCCUGAGGAGGUUGAAGCCAGAGGAAACUCUGGUGGAGGACCGUAGCGAUUCUGACGUGCAAAUCGAUCGUCAAAUUUGGGUAUAGGGGCGAAAGACUAAUCGAACCGUCUAGUAGCUGGUUCCCUUCGAAGUUUCCCUUUGAUUACGUCCCUGCCCUUUGUACACACCGCCCGUCGCUACUACCGAUUGAAUGGUUUAGUGAGGUCCUCCGAUUGGACCCGGUCCGGGCGGCGACGUCCGAGCCGGCGUCCGAGAAGACGAUCUAACUUGAUCAUUUAGAGGAAGU